CGGGGUUUCAAGACAAGUGCGAACGUCAUACAUCUUGUGGAGGAUUCAAUCGUCAUAUUUCCGGAUACUGAAAUGGAAUAUAAGUCACAUUUCAAGGUUCAACAUAUCCAGUUACUAGGAAGGAAGAAGACAACGGGAAAAGGAUUCUGUUUUGACAUUCCUGCUAUUUAUCUGCUCAUAGAGAAAAUAGAGGUCACAUUUCAAGGUUCAGCAUCACCGAGUUACUAGGAAGGAAGAAGACAAUGGGAAAAGGGUUCUGUUUUGACAUUCCUGCUAUUUUUCUGCUCA
This is a long non-coding RNA of Asterias rubens (European starfish), 288 nucleotides long. RefSeq lists it as uncharacterized. Lineage: Eukaryota; Metazoa; Echinodermata; Asteroidea; Forcipulatida; Asteriidae. The transcript has 3 exons. The record is from RefSeq and is a predicted model, not a curated record.